Molecule: ribosomal RNA, 752 nt
Filed under: Penicillium expansum
Lineage: Eukaryota; Fungi; Ascomycota; Eurotiomycetes; Eurotiales; Aspergillaceae
Description: eukaryotic LSU rRNA
Rfam family: Eukaryotic large subunit ribosomal RNA (bases 110-752)
Source: RNAcentral
GAACGCACAUUGCGCCCCCUGGUAUUCCGGGGGGCAUGCCUGUCCGAGCGUCAUUGCUGCCCUCAAGCCCGGCUUGUGUGUUGGGCCCCGUCCUCCGAUUCCGGGGGACGGGCCCGAAAGGCAGCGGCGGCACCGCGUGCAUAUCAAUAAGCGGAGGAAAAGAAACCAACAGGGAUUGCCCCAGUAACGGCGAGUGAAGCGGCAAGAGCUCAAAUUUGAAAGCUGGCUCCUUCGGGGUCCGCAUUGUAAUUUGCAGAGGAUGCUUCGGGAGCGGUCCCCAUCUAAGUGCCCUGGAACGGGACGUCAUAGAGGGUGAGAAUCCCGUAUGGGAUGGGGUGUCCGCGCCCGUGUGAAGCUCCUUCGACGAGUCGAGUUGUUUGGGAAUGCAGCUCUAAAUGGGUGGUAAAUUUCAUCUAAAGCUAAAUAUUGGCCGGAGACCGAUAGCGCACAAGUAGAGUGAUCGAAAGAUGAAAAGCACUUUGAAAAGAGAGUUAAAAAGCACGUGAAAUUGUUGAAAGGGAAGCGCUUGCGACCAGACUCGCUCGCGGGGUUCAGCCGGCAUUCGUGCCGGUGUAUUUCCCCGCGGGCGGGCCAGCGUCGGUUUGGGCGGUCGGUCAAAGGCCCUCGGAAGGUAACGCCCCUAGGGGCGUCUUAUAGCCGAGGGUGCAAUGCGACCUGCCUAGACCGAGGAACGCGCUUCGGCUCGGACGCUGGCAUAAUGGUCGUAAGCGACCCGUCUUGAAACACGGACC